GACGAACGCUGGCGGCGUGCCUAAUACAUGCAAGUUGAGCGCUGAAGGUUGGUCCUUGUAUCAACUGGCUGAGCAGCGAACGGGUGAGUAACGCGUGGGGAAUCUGCCUUUGAGCGGGGGACAACAUUUGGAAACGAAUGCUAAUACCGCAUAAAAACUUUAAACACAAGUUUUAAGUUUGAAAGAUGCAAUUGCAUCACUCAAAGAUGAUCCCGCGUUGUAUUAGCUAGUUGGUGAGGUAAAGGCUCACCAAGGCGAUGAUACAUAGCCGACCUGAGAGGGUGAUCGGCCACAUUGGGACUGAGACACGGCCCAAACUCCUACGGGAGGCAGCAGUAGGGAAUCUUCGGCAAUGGACGAAAGUCUGACCGAGCAACGCCGCGUGAGUGAAGAAGGUUUUCGGAUCGUAAAACUCUGUUGGUAGAGAAGAACGUUGGUGAGAGUGGAAAGCUCAUCAAGUGACGGUAACUACCCAGAAAGGGACGGCUAACUACGUG
RNAcentral lists this ribosomal RNA (497 nucleotides) under uncultured bacterium. RNAcentral's name for it is "partial 16S ribosomal RNA". It matches the Rfam family "Bacterial small subunit ribosomal RNA", at positions 28 to 507 of the family's 1533-position model. The record is from RNAcentral.